AGGAUUCUCCUAGUAACGGCGAGUGAACGGAGAUUAGCCCAGCGCCGAAGCCUAUCCGUGUCUGCGGACAGGGCAAUGUGGCGUUUAGACGAGAAUCUGGGAGUGCUUGUUUACUCGAAGUCCAGCUCCGAAUAUGGCUUGGAUUUGUUCCAGAGAGGGUGAAAGCCCCGUACGAGUAGACCUGAUGUUUUUAAAGCACGCCUUAGAUAUUCUUGUCUUAGAGUCGGAUUGCUUGAGAAUGCAGUCCAAAGUGGGUGGUAAACUCCAUCCAAGGCUAAAUACCUGCACGAGUCCGAUAGUAGACAAGUACCGCGAGGGAAAGUUGAAAAGUACUCUGAAGAGAGAGUAAAUAGUACGUGAAGCCGCUUGUAUGGAAGCUGGUGGAGUCAAGCUUCUUGUUAUUAGAAUUGGCAUGGAGAAUUUUUGUUCUCGGGAUAAAGGUUCCAUUGGCUUGGCAAUAGCCGAACGGUUCGCCGUUUCAACUAUUCCUGGCAGUGUAUUUGCAGUGGACCUGAAUUUCCAUUCUCUUAUGUUAUUUCUUUUAACAGUUAUCACGAUCAAUGUGCAUUGUUGUGCAUCAUGGUCAAACCGUGUUUUAGAGGGCUAACCGCUCUCUUGGCAUGGGAUGGCAGAAGGUUCCAAGUCUGACUCGUUAGGCUUGGUUCGUAUGAAAGCUCGCUUGUCGGCUAUGAUGCUUUGUUACUAUCGUGCAUAUUGUUUCUAUUGCCGUGUUGUCCGCAAGGUAAACACGGUUAAGAGUCGUGGUAUUGAGGUAGA
Molecule: ribosomal RNA, 777 nt
Filed under: Pseudancylodiscoides sp. HSY4
Lineage: Eukaryota; Metazoa; Platyhelminthes; Monogenea; Dactylogyridea; Ancylodiscoididae
Description: eukaryotic LSU rRNA
Rfam family: Eukaryotic large subunit ribosomal RNA
Source: RNAcentral